RNAcentral lists this ribosomal RNA (406 nucleotides) under uncultured bacterium. Its description in RNAcentral is "partial 16S ribosomal RNA". It matches the Rfam family "Bacterial small subunit ribosomal RNA", at positions 30 to 526 of the family's 1533-position model. The record is from RNAcentral.
AUUGAACGCUGGCGGCAGGCCUAACACAUGCAAGUCGAACGAGUGGCGGACGGGUGAGUAAUGUCUGGGAAACUGCCUGAUGGAGGGGGAUAAGUACUGGAACACGUAGCUAAUACCGCUUACCACGCGAUGUGCUGAGAUGGGAUUAGCUAGUCGGUGGGGUAAAGGCUCACCUAGGGGACGAUCCCUAGCUGGUCUGAGAGGGUGACCAGCCACACUGGAACUGAGACACGGUCCAGACUCCUACGGGAGGCAGCAGUGGGGAAUAUUGCACAAUGGGCGCAAGCCUGAUGCAGCCAUGCCGCGUGUAUGAAGAAGGCCUUCGGGUUGUAAAGUACUUUCAGCGGGGAGGCGUUACCCGCAGAAGAAGCACCGGCUAACUCCGUGCCAGCAGCCGCGGUAAUUC